UACAGAGGGGGCAAGCGUUGUUCGGAAUUACUGGGCGUAAAGGGCGCGUAGGCGGCCUGCUAAGUCGAACGUGAAAUCCCUGGGCUCAACCCAGGAACUGCGUCCGAUACUGGUUGGCUUGAAUCCGGGAGAGGGAUGUGGAAUUCCAGGUGUAGCGGUGAAAUGCGUAGAUAUCUGGAGGAACACCGGCGGCGAAAGCGGCUCACUGGACCGUCUCUGACGCUGAGGUGCGAAAGCUAGGGUAGCAAACGGG
This 253-nucleotide ribosomal RNA is filed under the name uncultured bacterium. RNAcentral's name for it is "partial 16S ribosomal RNA". It matches the Rfam family "Bacterial small subunit ribosomal RNA", at positions 524 to 776 of the family's 1533-position model. The record is from RNAcentral.